CCUACGGGUGGCUGCAGUGGGGAAUUUUCCGCAAUGGGCGAAAGCCUGACGGAGCAAUACCGCGUGAGGGAGGAAGGUUUUUGGAUUGUAAACCUCUUUUUUAAAGGAAGAAGAAAGUGACGGUACUUUAAGAAUAAGCAUCGGCUAACUCCGUGCCAGCAGCCGCGGUAAUACGGAGGAUGCAAGCGUUAUCCGGAAUCAUUGGGCGUAAAGCGUCCGCAGGUGGUUAAUCAAGUCUGCUGUUAAAGACAGAAGCUCAACUUCUGAUAGGCAGUGGAAACUGGUAAACUAGAGUACGGUAGGGGUUGAGGGAAUUCCCAGUGUAGCGGUGAAAUGCGUAGAUAUUGGGAAGAACACCAGUGGCGAAGGCGCUCAACUGGGCCGUAACUGACACUCAGGGACGAAAGCUAGGGUAGCGAAAGGGAUUAGAUACCCAAGUAGUC
Molecule: ribosomal RNA, 443 nt
Filed under: uncultured bacterium
Lineage: Bacteria
Description: bacterial SSU rRNA
Rfam family: Bacterial small subunit ribosomal RNA
Source: RNAcentral